Molecule: long non-coding RNA, 2065 nt
Filed under: Chloebia gouldiae (Gouldian finch)
Lineage: Eukaryota; Metazoa; Chordata; Aves; Passeriformes; Passeridae
Description: Erythrura gouldiae (Gouldian finch) lncRNA (ENSEGOG00005005604.1)
Source: RNAcentral
GGAGAGCUGUCCAGAGGAAAAUGUUUGCAGCGUGGGCAAUCAUGUUGGCAGUCAGUAAUCAAUCAGCUCCCUUGUGUAAAACACAGAGCCAGCCAUUGAUUGCUUGCAGCUCUGCCAACGGGCCCCAGGGCUUUCAAUGGACUGAAAAUGCAUAGUUGCUAUUUGGAUCCAGUCACCCUUCAUCCGACUCAGAAAGUUAAGAGUAAAUUAGUUUUUUGGUACUAGGAUGCUUAUAAAAUCAACCUGCUUUAGUGCAAUCCCUAAGCUCUCUCUGGUGAAUAACUUGCUGAGUGGGAAGGAGAGCUUCUGAUGCUUUUUUCAUGUUCCUCAUCAACUGCUCUGCUGCUGCCUCCUGCAUCUGUGCCAAAUCUGGCCAGGAGUAAGUGCUACAAAGGGGGGAGAGAGCAGAUUCAUGCCUGUGUAAUUGCUGUCAGGUUUGACUGGGGAAGGAGGUGCUAAUGACACCGUGAAACCACGGUCUGCGCUCUUGGGUGGUUUGUGCCAGGUUUAUGCACAGCAUGGUUACUCUGGAAGCACUUUGGAAAGUUCAAGGGAAAAGAUCAGGGGAAAAGAACACCUCUGGAAGUUUUUGUUGAAGGUCUGAAAAUGCAAUAUUCCAAAUUUUCUUCUUGCAUGGCCGUCCUGUGGAAUGGUGACAUACGGAGCUGCAAGAGAAGGGAAUAUGCUCAGUUCCUCUCAGUGAGAAGAAUGAAUCUUUCAAGGCAAAACAGCUGUUCCUAAGAAAAUGAAGACAGCUGAGGAGCUGGUAUGAAUGUUACAAGUAAAUGAAUAUAUGAAGUACAUCUGACUGUUGGAGAUGACUAAGAAAUGAUGAAUGACCCUUUAACACAUUAAAAAAGUGAGUGAAUGGGUAGCCUAAGGUGUGCAGGACACCCAUGCUUUUAGAAUGACAAGAGAUGGAGAUAAUCUGACUUCUUGGGAUAAAAUUGGCACUGCUUUACAAACAAGACAAGCAGCACAUCCCCUGCAGGAUACUGGUACCUGGUCUUUAACAGCAGGAUCCUGCUUUACCCAGAGCACUCUGGCCUCUGAGGCUCCUUUGUCAGCCUCUGGUUUCUCAUGAAUGAUCUGGGAGUGUGGGUUAUCUCUAACUUUUCCCCCUGUUUUCAAAAGAGCAUGAUGUUAAAAGCAAAGGUUUUGUGCAGCUGUGGUGGCUCAUCUCAGAACAUGUAGUGCUGCACACACAAAAUAAGGGUUGAGCAUAGUCAUGCAUCAUUCAUUUGUGCCUGAAGGGUGGUUGCUUUUGUGCUCUCUGGUUUUCUGGUCGUUGUAUCAUGCUUGGGAAUGAUCUUGAGCCACGGACAUGAGCACAGUGCUCCAACCCCAAAAUGAAGGCCACUGAAGGAUUUUUCAGUGCUUCAUCCUCUCAGCCAAGGCUGUCAGACUCGGCUGGUGCAAAGUCCUGGGAAAUCCCACUGCAGGCUCAAAGCCUCAGGCACCAUUUUUUGAUGUACACAAAAGACCUUGUUUUAAUAGGAAUUAAUUAGCAGUUUAAGUACUUGAAGGGUAGGAAAUCCCCCACAGGGUAUACUCGUUAAGGUUUCUUUACACAUUACCUCCCAGGAGGAUGCAGACUUUCCCUUCGUUUCCUGCAUCACUCUCUGCUUCAGCAGUAACUCCAGUAAUUGUACAACAACCCCAAAGUACUGAAACUGCAACCAUAAAUUCCUUCCAGUGCUCAUCUGUUCCCCUGUGUUAGACAGGACGGUGAUGGGCAAUAAUUUAUCAAAGAGCCUGAGGAUGUAAUGUCACAUAUUCAUGCCCAGGGUGUAAUGAUGAUGUGAUAAUGUCAGUGUAACCACACAUCUUGUUUGCAUUAUUUAUUGCUCUCAUGAAUGACAAAUUUGUAUUUAAAAAUGACUGAGAAAUUUAUCUGCUGUUCCAAAAAGCCAAAUUAUGAAGGUGGCAUAAUCUUACCUCUAGGGCAGACAUUCCCUUUUAUUAUUGGCAUUUAAUAAGAGAAUAUGUAAUUAAAGGAAAGUAAUUAACCUAUUUCUAGGAAGUUUGUAUCUUGAAUAAACAGGCAGCUUUAAGUGUGCUGCCA